UACGGGGGGGGCAAGCGUUGUUCGGAAUUAUUGGGCGUAAAGAGCUCGUAGGCGGCUUGUCACGUCGAUUGUGAAAGCCCGAGGCUUAACCUCGGGUCUGCAGUCGAUACGGGCAGACUAGAGUAUGGCAGGGGAGACUGGAAUUCCUGGUGUAGCGGUGAAAUGCGCAGAUAUCAGGAGGAACACCGGUGGCGAAGGCGGGUCUCUGGGCCAAAACUGACGCUGAGGAGCGAAAGCGUGGGGAGCGAACAGG
RNAcentral lists this ribosomal RNA (253 nucleotides) under uncultured bacterium. RNAcentral's name for it is "partial 16S ribosomal RNA". It matches the Rfam family "Bacterial small subunit ribosomal RNA", at positions 524 to 776 of the family's 1533-position model. The record is from RNAcentral.